Molecule: ribosomal RNA, 558 nt
Filed under: Staphylococcus aureus
Lineage: Bacteria; Bacillati; Bacillota; Bacilli; Caryophanales; Staphylococcaceae
Description: partial 23S ribosomal RNA
Rfam family: Bacterial large subunit ribosomal RNA
Source: RNAcentral
AGAAUGAACCGGCGAGUUACGAUUUGAUGCAAGGUUAAGCAGUAAAUGUGGAGCCGUAGCGAAAGCGAGUCUGAAUAGGGCGUUUAGUAUUUGGUCGUAGACCCGAAACCAGGUGAUCUACCCUUGGUCAGGUUGAAGUUCAGGUAACACUGAAUGGAGGACCGAACCGACUUACGUUGAAAAGUGAGCGGAUGAACUGAGGGUAGCGGAGAAAUUCCAAUCGAACCUGGAGAUAGCUGGUUCUCUCCGAAAUAGCUUUAGGGCUAGCCUCAAGUGAUGAUUAUUGGAGGUAGAGCACUGUUUGGACGAGGGGCCCCUCUCGGGUUACCGAAUUCAGACAAACUCCGAAUGCCAAUUAAUUUAACUUGGGAGUCAGAACAUGGGUGAUAAGGUCCGUGUUCGAAAGGGAAACAGCCCAGACCACCAGCUAAGGUCCCAAAAUAUAUGUUAAGUGGAAAAGGAUGUGGCGUUGCCCAGACAACUAGGAUGUUGGCUUAGAAGCAGCCAUCAUUUAAAGAGUGCGUAAUAGCUCACUAGUCGAGUGACACUGCGCCGAAA